UUUUGUGCAUAUANGUNUAUNUAUAUAUAUAUAUAUGCGUAUGUGUACAUGUACAACAAACCAACCAAAAACACAAACGAGAGAGAAGAAACUUCGUAGUGUGUUUGUGUGUGUGAUUCGUCACAUAUACUACUACAUGCUUCUUUGUUUUCCUUCUAUUUUCUGCAUUGUGUGUUGUGUGUUGUGUGUUAUGUAUUUAUAUGCAUUUCUCACUACUCACAAAACGUUUUUGUUCACAGACCUGAGUGUGGCAGGACUACCCGCCGAACUUAAGCAUAUUACUCAGCGGAGGAAAAGAAAACAACCGUGAUUCUCUCAGUCAGCGGCGAGCGAAGAGGGAUCCAACUCGUUGCCGAAUCGGGCCUUAUAGGGCUUUGAGUUGUGGCAAGAGCGUCGCUUUGAGGGCUGGUGCAGGAAUGGCGAAAUUCAAUUGCAAAGCAAACCCAUUGCUGAAUACAACCCUUCAUGUGAGUAUGAGCCAAAGA
Molecule: ribosomal RNA, 485 nt
Filed under: Trypanosoma grayi
Lineage: Eukaryota; Euglenozoa; Kinetoplastea; Trypanosomatida; Trypanosomatidae
Description: eukaryotic LSU rRNA
Rfam family: Eukaryotic large subunit ribosomal RNA (bases 237-485)
Source: RNAcentral